This 648-nucleotide ribosomal RNA is filed under the name uncultured beta proteobacterium. RNAcentral's name for it is "bacterial SSU rRNA". It matches the Rfam family "Bacterial small subunit ribosomal RNA", at positions 77 to 722 of the family's 1533-position model. The record is from RNAcentral. Lineage: Bacteria; Pseudomonadati; Pseudomonadota; Betaproteobacteria.
UCUUCGGAUGCUGACGAGUGGCGAACGGGUGAGUAAUACAUCGGAACGUGCCCAGUAAUGGGGGAUAGCUCGGCGAAAGCCGGAUUAAUACCGCAUACGCCCUGAGGGGGAAAGUGGGGGAUCGCAAGACCUCACGUUAUUGGAGCGGCCGAUGGCUGAUUAGCUAGUUGGUAGGGUAAAGGCCUACCAAGGCGACGAUCAGUAGCUGGUCUGAGAGGACGAUCAGCCACACUGGGACUGAGACACGGCCCAGACUCCUACGGGAGGCAGCAGUGGGGAAUUUUGGACAAUGGGGGAAACCCUGAUCCAGCAAUGCCGCGUGUGCGAAGAAGGCCUUCGGGUUGUAAAGCACUUUUGUCAGGGAAGAAAUCCUUUGGGCUAAUACCCUAGGGGGAUGACGGUACCUGAAGAAUAAGCACCGGCUAACUACGUGCCAGCAGCCGCGGUAAUACGUAGGGUGCAAGCGUUAAUCGGAAUUACUGGGCGUAAAGCGUGCGCAGGCGGUUGUGUAAGACAGGUGUGAAAUCCCCGGGCUUAACCUGGGAAUUGCAUUUGUGACUGCACGACUAGAGUGUGUCAGAGGGGGGUGGAAUUCCACGUGUAGCAGUGAAAUGCGUAGAUAUGUGGAGGAACACCAAUGGCGAAGGC